This 292-nucleotide ribosomal RNA is filed under the name uncultured bacterium. RNAcentral describes it as "partial 16S ribosomal RNA". It matches the Rfam family "Bacterial small subunit ribosomal RNA", at positions 775 to 1067 of the family's 1533-position model. The record is from RNAcentral.
GGAUUAGAUACCCUGGUAGUCCUAGCCAUAAACGAUGGAUACUUGAUGUGAGAUAUCAUAUAUCUCGUGUCUAAGCUAACGCGUUAAGUAUCCCGCCUGGGGAGUACGAUCGCAAGAUUGAAACUUAAAGGAAUUGACGGGGACCCGCACAAGCAGUGGAGCAUGCGGUUUAAUUCGACGCUACGCGAGAAACCUUACCAGGUCUUGACAUCCUUAGGAAGAGUUUAGAAAUAAACUCGCCUCUUCGGAGGCCUUUGGACAGGUGGUGCAUGGCUGUCGUCAGCUCGUGUUG